Molecule: ribosomal RNA, 660 nt
Filed under: uncultured bacterium
Lineage: Bacteria
Description: bacterial SSU rRNA
Rfam family: Bacterial small subunit ribosomal RNA
Source: RNAcentral
AGUGGCGGACGGGUGAGUAACGCGUGAGAAUCUGCCUUGGGGUCGGGGACAACCACUGGAAACGGUGGCUAAUACCGGAUAAGCCGAUUGGUGAAAGAUUUAUUGCCCGAAGAGGAGCUCGCGUCUGAUUAGCUAGUUGGUGAGGUAAGAGCUCACCAAGGCAGCGAUCAGUAGCUGGUCUGAGAGGACGAUCAGCCACACUGGGACUGAGACACGGCCCAGACUCCUACGGGAGGCAGCAGUGGGGAAUUUUCCGCAAUGGGCGAAAGCCUGACGGAGCAAGACCGCGUGAGGGAGGAAGGCUCUUGGGUUGUAAACCUCUUUUCUCAGGGAAGAAGCUCUGACGGUACCUGAGGAAUCAGCCUCGGCUAACUCCGUGCCAGCAGCCGCGGUAAUACGGAGGAGGCAAGCGUUAUCCGGAAUUAUUGGGCGUAAAGCGUCCGCAGGUGGCUAUUCAAGUCUGCUGUCAAAGCACGGGGCUUAACUCCGUAAAGGCAGUGGAAACUGAAUAGCUAGAGUGCCGUAGGGGUAGAGGGAAUUCCCGGUGUAGCGGUGAAAUGCGUAGAGAUCGGGAAGAACAUCGGUGGCGAAAGCGCUCUACUGGACGGCAACUGACACUCAGGGACGAAAGCUAGGGGAGCGAAUGGGAUUAGAUACCCC